GCCAAGGUGGCGGAACUGGUAUACGCGCUGGUCUCAAAAACCAGUGGUCUCACGGCCGUGAGGGUUCAACUCCCUCCCUUGGCA
RNAcentral lists this transfer RNA (84 nucleotides) under Candidatus Omnitrophota bacterium. Its description in RNAcentral is "Candidatus Omnitrophica bacterium (groundwater metagenome) tRNA-Leu". It matches the Rfam family "tRNA". Rfam says of the family: Transfer RNA (tRNA) molecules are approximately 80 nucleotides in length. Their secondary structure includes four short double-helical elements and three loops (D, anti-codon, and T loops). Further hydrogen bonds mediate the characteristic L-shaped molecular structure. tRNAs have two regions of fundamental functional importance: the anti-codon, which is responsible for specific mRNA codon recognition, and the 3' end, to which the tRNAs corresponding amino acid is attached (by aminoacyl-tRNA synthetases). tRNAs cope with the degeneracy of the genetic code in two manners: having more than one tRNA (with a specific anti-codon) for a particular amino acid; and 'wobble' base-pairing, i.e. permitting non-standard base-pairing at the 3rd anti-codon position. The record is from RNAcentral. Lineage: Bacteria; Pseudomonadati; Candidatus Omnitrophota. RNAcentral also lists the same sequence under 1 other name.